Molecule: ribosomal RNA, 630 nt
Filed under: uncultured Alphaproteobacteria bacterium
Lineage: Bacteria; Pseudomonadati; Pseudomonadota; Alphaproteobacteria
Description: bacterial SSU rRNA
Rfam family: Bacterial small subunit ribosomal RNA
Source: RNAcentral
AGAGUUUGAUCAUGGCUCAGAACGAACGCUGGCGGCAGGCCUAACACAUGCAAGUCGAACGAAGCCUUCGGGUUUAGUGGCGGACGGGUGAGUAACGCGUGGGAACGUGCCCUUCUCUACGGAAUAGUCCUCUGGAAACGGAGAGUAAUACCUUAUACGCCCUUCGGGGGAAAGAUUCAUCGGUAUCGGAUUAGCCCGCGUUAGAUUAGAUAGUUGGUGGGGUAACGGCCUACCAAGUCUACGAUCUAUAGCUGGUUUUAGAGGAUGAUCAGCAACACUGGGACUGAGACACGGCCCAGACUCCUACGGGAGGCAGCAGUGGGGAAUCUUGGACAAUGGGCGCAAGCCUGAUCCAGCCAUGCCGCGUGAGUGAUGAAGGCCUUAGGGUCGUAAAGCUCUUUCGCCAGAGAUGAUAAUGACAGUAUCUGGUAAAGAAACCCCGGCUAACUCCGUGCCAGCAGCCGCGGUAAUACGGAGGGGGUUAGCGUUGUUCGGAAUUACUGGGCGUAAAGCGCGCGUAGGCGGAUUGGAAAGUUAGAGGUGAAAUCCCGGGGCUCAACCCCGGAACUGCCUUUAAAACUCCCAGUCUAGAGUUCGAGAGAGGUGAGUGGAAAUUCCGAGUGUAGAGGU